GNACCAUGNNUNAAGCCGNCCACAUGCCGCGUGUGUGAAGAAGGCCUUCGGGUUGUAAAGCACUUUUGUCCGGAAAGAAAUCCUUGGCUCUAAUACAGUCGGGGGAUGACGGUACCGGAAGAAUAAGCACCGGCUAACUACGUGCCAGCAGCCGCGGUAAUA
This 162-nucleotide ribosomal RNA is filed under the name Burkholderia cepacia. RNAcentral's name for it is "partial 16S ribosomal RNA". The stretch from base 31 to 162 matches the Rfam family "Bacterial small subunit ribosomal RNA", at positions 401 to 525 of the family's 1533-position model. Lineage: Bacteria; Pseudomonadati; Pseudomonadota; Betaproteobacteria; Burkholderiales; Burkholderiaceae. The record is from RNAcentral.